Molecule: unclassified non-coding RNA, 249 nt
Filed under: Glomus sp.
Lineage: Eukaryota; Fungi; Glomeromycota; Glomeromycetes; Glomerales; Glomeraceae
Description: partial contains 5.8S ribosomal RNA and internal transcribed spacer 2
Rfam family: 5.8S ribosomal RNA (bases 1-65)
Source: RNAcentral
GUGAAUCAUCGAAUUUUUGAACGCAAAUUGCACUCUCUUCGGAGAGUAUGCCUGUUUGAGGGUCAGCCUAAAAAAAAAAAUCGACAUAGUCGCUGUUUCGCGGUGACAUUCGUCGGAAAUUGUGUCAUCUUUAACCUUUGGGUUUUAAUUUGUUUAAAUUUUUCUUUACGUUUCCACGAACGUUUCUAAUAUUUACUUCUUAUACCUCUAAGGAAUCGACCUUUAUUAGACGUGGCCAUUCAAUCGGAU